GAUUCCCUGGACUAUUCGCCAGCCCGUUAGUCCUCGAGCCGAUAAGCACUUGCCUGGGGGCCUCUCCGCCGACGCUGUGUGCAUGUCCGCCUGCCGGAAAGCCUGAUGCGUCACUGAGGCCGCCGCCUUGAACCGCUGGGUUCAAGGGCGACACGGGCAGCGGUAGCGCCGGGGAAUCC
Molecule: non-coding RNA, 179 nt
Filed under: Pseudomonadales bacterium
Lineage: Bacteria; Pseudomonadati; Pseudomonadota; Gammaproteobacteria; Pseudomonadales
Also listed under: 1 other name
Description: 6S RNA
Rfam family: 6S / SsrS RNA
About the family: E. coli 6S RNA was the first non coding RNA to be sequenced, but its function was unknown until recently. It consists of 184 nucleotides that fold into an extended hairpin structure with a large single-stranded internal bulge.
Source: RNAcentral